ACUCCUACGGGAGGCAGCAGUGGGGAAUUGUUCGCAAUGGGCGCAAGCCUGACGACGCAACGCCGCGUGGAGGAUGAAGGUCUUCGGAUUGUAAACUCCUGUUGCCCGGGACGAAUGGCUUCGACCUAACACGUCGAAGUUUGACGGUACCGGGUGAGGAAGCCCCGGCUAACUCUGUGCCAGCAGCCGCGGUAAUACAGAGGGGGCAAGCGUUGUUCGGAAUUACUGGGCGUAAAGGGCGCGUAGGCGGCCUUCUAAGUCGAACGUGAAAUCCCCGGGCUCAACCCGGGAACUGCGUCCGAUACUGGAAGGCUUGAAUCCGGGAGAGGGAUGCGGAAUUCCAGGUGUAGCGGUGAAAUGCGUAGAUAUCUGGAGGAACACCGGUGGCGAAGGCGGCAUCCUGGACCGGUAUUGACGCUGAGGCGCGAAAGCCAGGGGAGCAAACGGGAUUAGAUACCCCGGUAGUCCUGGCCCUAAACGAUGAAUGCUUGGUGUGGCGGGUAUCGAUCCCUGCCGUGCCGAAGCUAACGCAUUAAGCAUUCCGCCUGGGGAGUACGGUCGCAAGGCUGAAACUUAAAGGAAUUGACGG
This 589-nucleotide ribosomal RNA is filed under the name uncultured Acidobacteriota bacterium. RNAcentral describes it as "bacterial SSU rRNA". It matches the Rfam family "Bacterial small subunit ribosomal RNA", at positions 335 to 916 of the family's 1533-position model. Lineage: Bacteria; Pseudomonadati; Acidobacteriota. The record is from RNAcentral.